AGAGUUUGAUCCUGGCUCAGGAUGAACGCUGGCGGCGUGCUUAAUACAUGCAAGUCGAACGAGGCGCAAGCCUAGUGGCGACCGGGUGCGUAACACGUACUAGACCUGCCCUCAAGCGGGGGAUAACACUUGGAAACGAGUGCUAAUACCGCAUGGACUGCUGGGGAUUAGAAGACCAGCAGGAAACUUCCGGGGUUUGAGGAGGGUGGUGCGGCCCAUCAGGUAGUUGGUGAGGUAGUGGCUCACCAAGCCAAUGACGGGUAGGGGUUCUGAGAGGAAGGUCCCCCACACUGGAACUGACACACGGUCCAGACUCCUACGGGAGGCAGCAGUAAGGGAUUUUCCCCAAUGGGCGCAAGCCUGAGGGAGCAACGCCGCGCGGGGGACGACGGCCUUCGGGUUGUAAACUCCUUUUGGUGGGGACGAGAUAGGACGGUACCCACCGAAUAAGUCACGGCUAACUACGUGCCAGCCGCCGCGGUAAUUC
This 487-nucleotide ribosomal RNA is filed under the name uncultured bacterium. RNAcentral describes it as "partial 16S ribosomal RNA". It matches the Rfam family "Bacterial small subunit ribosomal RNA", at positions 8 to 526 of the family's 1533-position model. The record is from RNAcentral.